Long non-coding RNA from Pecten maximus, 1416 nucleotides. RefSeq lists it as uncharacterized. The record is from RefSeq and is a predicted model, not a curated record. Lineage: Eukaryota; Metazoa; Mollusca; Bivalvia; Pectinida; Pectinidae. The transcript has 2 exons.
GUGGGGGCCAAAAUUUCGGAAAAUGAAAUAUAUACUAAUUGUUUUAUUAAUAUAGGUCUCUGGGUUCCUUUAACAAUUUCCAUAGCAAGAAUGUGUGUCGUUGGUGUGUCACGGUCUAUAUUGCGGUUCCCGUAUAUGUAAUCGUCUGUAAUUAAUACUAAUUUGAAAUUUGAUUCAUUUCUGCAGAAAGACUUGGAUAAUUUGGUGGAAAUCUGGAAUACACAUACCAUCUCUGGAAGAAUGAGGAUGCGUGGUGGAAAUAGACCAAUUAUGAUGUACACACUACCAGAACUUUUUGACAAGCGACACUGUCUUUGUUAUGUAGAUGAGGCAGAAAUAAACGUCUGUGCUGAAGAAACUACCCCGAAGUCAGACUUUCCAUGCGAUGAAACUGUCAGAGAACUUUGCCUUGUGUUAAUGGAGGAAAAUGGAUAUGUUCUUCCUGACGAGGCCGAGGACGCGAAAAAAUUGUAUAUCCAUCUGAGAGAAUUGAUCCUAUCGCUACUAUGAUACACAGUGUAACAGAACGCAUGUUCUAUUGAUACACAUAAUAAAUGUUUAUUAAAAUCAGUUCACAUUUAAAUCAUCCCACGAAUUACCGUCUGGUCACUUCGUAGUUAUAACUUGGUCUUUACCACUGCGAAGAGUAUCUUUGUUUUCUUUCUUUUUUUUAUUAAAAGUUGAAAGUUAUCCUGUUAUGCUUUUAUGGAUAUUAACUAAAAUAACUCCAUGAAUAUGUCAUUAUUAGCCUAAUCAUAUUUCGAAGGAUAAAUCUAUGAGGUCACAAAUGCAUAUGUAGUAAACAUUCGGAAUGGUUCCAUUUGGAUUCUUGCGUAAAUGAUUUCUCAAUACGGUCAAUGGAUAUUUUGAAAGUCAACGACUUGUAAAGUUUCAUCGAUUAAUUAAUCACAGCUGCUAAUGUCAUACCUUAUACACAGCUUUGGAUAAAUCUUACUUUAAUAUUAAUUUAUCAAAAUUUCGUCAGGAAUUCAAUUCCUCAUUUAACCACAUAAUAUAAUCUUAAAACUUGGAGAUUUAGAUGUAUUUGGUCACGAUGUUCUGCUACACGUUUGGAUACAUUUUUGUUUAUAAGAUCUGAGGAGUAACCUCCCUUUAAUUCAAGGCUUCGUAUGUGAGUUACUGCCCUUACUGGAACUCUUUUUCGUCAUUAAUGUGAACAGUCGGCCAUUACAACGACGAAGCACGUUGUUUUUAUUCCUAUUGAAAUGUUGAUAUAGGCUUGGUCGAGCCUUGAAUUCUUCACUAUUACAAGAAUAACAAGAAAAGAUGUUAUAAGAGGACUAUUACCAUUACUGAGGUUAAAGUUCAAGUCUUUUCAUCAUGAUCACCAGAUUUAUGUUGUCCUGGAUAAAUUUGGAUGGAAAUUGACUACAAUAAAACCAAUACCAACACGUA